AGCGAACGCUGGCGGCAGGCUUAACACAUGCAAGUCGAGCGCCGUAGCAAUACGGCGCGGCAGACGGGUGAGUAACGCGCGGGGACGUGCCUUCUGGUUCGGAAUAACCCAGGGAAACUUGAGCUAAUACCGGAUAAGCCCUUCGGGGGAAAGGUUUAUCGCCGGAAGAUCGGCCCGGGUUAGAUUUGCUAGUUGGGGAGGUAACGGCCCACCAAGGCCACGAUCUUUAGCUUGUCUGGGAGGAUGAACAGCCACACUGGGACUGAGACACGGCCCAGACUCCUACGGGAGGCAGCAGUGGGGAAUAUUGGACAAUGGGCGCAAGCCUGAUCCAGCCAUGCCGCGUGAGUGAUGAAGGCCUUAGGGCUGUAAAGCUCUUUUAGCAGGGACGAUAAUGACGGUACCUGCAGAAAAAGCCCCGGCCAACUUCGUGCCAGCAGCCGCCGUAA
Molecule: ribosomal RNA, 449 nt
Filed under: uncultured bacterium
Lineage: Bacteria
Description: partial 16S ribosomal RNA
Rfam family: Bacterial small subunit ribosomal RNA
Source: RNAcentral